GUGCCAGCAGCCGCGGUAAUACCGGCAGCCCGAGUGAUGGCCGAUCUUAUUGGGCCUAAAGCGUCCGUAGCUGGCCGCACAAGUCCAUCGGAAAAUCCACCCGCCCAACGGGUGGGCGUCCGGUGGAAACUGUGUGGCUUGGGACCGGAAGGCGCGACGGGUACGUCCGGGGUAGGAGUGAAAUCCUGUAAUCCUGGACGGACCGCCGAUGGCGAAAGCACGUCGCGAGGACUGCCGGUAUUACCGC
Molecule: ribosomal RNA, 247 nt
Filed under: uncultured prokaryote
Description: partial 16S ribosomal RNA
Rfam family: Archaeal small subunit ribosomal RNA
Source: RNAcentral